UCUACCCGCGUGACGCUUGGGCUCUGGAGCCUCUGCGGCCAGGGCUUCAAGCUUCGAGGCGAGCUCGGUGGAACUCUCAACAGCUUCCCCAUACUCGACGCAUUCGACGUCGCACUCGUACGCGUGCUCGUAGGAGGAGCUGACGGUGAUGACGCCCUUGGGUCCGGGCAUCUUCAGCUUCAAGUAGGUGUAGUUGGGGAUAGCCAUAAACUUGGCGUUACCCGGGUGCCCAAUGAUGGCGUGGUACUUGCCCCGGAAUCCCACUACCUCAAAGGUGAGGGUCUCCUUUCUAAAAUUGGCCGCCGUGCCAAAGCACACUGGAAGGUCGAUUCAACCUACCAGCAAUGCCUUCUUUCUAGGUACGACACCAUGGAAGCCGCCGGCGCUUGGUUGGAGCUGCGCCCUGUUGAUGCCGAGAAGGUCGAGGGUCUCGAGGUAGACGAUGUUUAGGCUGCUGCCGCCAUCCAUCAACACCUUUGAGAGUCUGGUGUUGACGAUGACGGGGUCGGCGACGAGCGGGUAGACGCCAGGGGCAAUUACCUUGUCGGGGUGGUCGUCUCGAUCGAAGGUGAUGGGGGUGCUUGACCAGCUGAGGUAUUGGGGCACUACCAUCCUUGCUGCAAGGACCUCGCGGCGCUCCCUCUUGCGCUGCCUUGCGGUUAGCUGCGUCGAGGGUCCACCGUAGAUCAUGUAGCAGUCGUGGACGGCUGGGAAACCUUCGUCGUCUUUGUCGUUCCCCUUGUCACCGUUCUUUUCUUUCUUCAGGUCAUCACGGGCGUCCUUCUUGAACCCCAGGCCGUCGAAGUGCUUCUUCAGCAUACGGCAGUCCUCGAGCUUGUGGUUUGCCCCUCCUUAUGGUAAGGGCAUGGCUCCUUUAGCAUCUUGUCGAAGAUAGCCCCCUCUGGGGAUCCUCGAGGCCUUUUGCGCCCCAUGGCAGCGACGAGAUUGUCGUCGAGGUCCUCCAGCUGGAAUGGCCAUGUUUUCUUCUUCUUUUUGUUCUUUUUCGGUCCUCGUCUGGGGCCCUCAUCAUCAUCGGCGAACGGCUUGCCUUUCCUUCCUUCACAGCUGAAGAAGGCGCCGACCGCUUCUUCCCCUGCAGCGUAGUUUGCCACUACGUCCAUCAGCUCGUCGAUGGUCUGAGGGCGAUUCCAGCCUAAUUCCUGCACCAAGUCUCGACUAGUGAUGCCAGAGACAAAGGCCAGGAUGACGUCGUGGUCGGGGAUGUGUGGCAGCUCAGUGCGCUGCUUCGAGAAGCGUCGAGCAUACUCUCGAAGAGUUUCUCCUGACUUCUGCUUGCAUUUGCUGAGGUCCCACGAGUUGCCGGGCCGUAUGUAGGUUCCUUUGAAGUUACCCUCGAACACCCUGACCAAAUCGACCCAAUCGUGGAUCUGGUUGGCCGGGAGCUCCUCGAGCCAUCUGCGGGCGGUGUCGGAGAGGAAAAGUGGUAGCUGUCGGAUGAUGGCUCGAUCGUCCCCUCGAGCGCCUCCCAGCUGAUAGGCUAGCCUGAAGUCUGCCAGCCACAGCUCUGGCUUGGUCUCGCCGUUGUAUUUAGCGAUGCUAGUCGGGGGUCGAAAUGGGCUGGGCAGCGGCGUGCUGCGGAUUGCUCUGCUGAACACCCAAGGGCCCGGUGGUUCCGGAGCCAUCCGGUCCUCGUCGCUGUCGUACCUCCCACCGCGGUGGGCGCUGUAACCGCGCUCUUCUGUGUCCCCAUAUCGACGACGACGGUUCUUGUCGAUGUCGCGUCAUGCGUCGUGUCGUCGUUGGUUGUCGACGGGAUAGUGGAGGACGAGCGCUGUCUUUUUCCCUCGAGGGGGCGGCUGCUGAUGGACCGACACCUCCUUUUCGUUCUGGGCUGGCUCAUCACGCUUUUCUGUGGCUGCUCCUAGACAUUGAGAGGCCGAGCUCUCGGCCUAUUGAACCGCCGCCACUUGGAGCAGUGUCUGCACCUCGUCUCGAAUGCGUCGUGCUUGAGAGUUCGACGGUUCGGGCAUAUUGCGUAGCAGCAUCGUCGCCGCCACGAUGUUCUGGCCUGCUCGAGGGAAACGACUGACGGGCUGCUCAGGUUCCCCGUCUCCGACGAUCUGCCGGUGCACCUCUCGAGCCCGUCUGCAAACACUUCCGCCAUGCGGGUAUGGCUGGUCCUGCUCGAGGAUCUGUUCAAGCAGGACAAGGCACUCGCGAUCUUUGUCAAGCUUUGCUUUGAGCUCUCGUAGCUGCGCAAGUUGCGCGGCUCUGUCUUCAUGUGGAGGGAGGUCGACCUGACCGUCAAUCCCAGGCGUCCUGGGGUCCUCCCUUGCUGUAGGGACUCGACCGCCUGCAACGGCGUCCUAUGUCUCGUCGGUGGUUUCCACCGCCCUGUCGAUGUUGAAGCAUUCCCUAGUAGGGUCGUAGCUGUCGGACUCAGAGUCGGAGUCUGGCUCGGCGGCGUAGAAGCAUCCACGUCCCUCCUCCAGCAGCCGUUGCCUAAGGGAGGUGAUCAUGUAUCGCCCAGGUCCUAAGCGGCGGAGGCCUCGUACCUAAGAGAAAUCUGGAAGCCCGGACGUCUGUUGUCGUGCUCCAUCAUCGCGUGGGAGGACCAUUGGUCUUUCCACGUACAUUUGGGCGUUUGGACAUAUCGUCCUGGCGAGUGACGCUGCGGCGUUGUCCAGACCGAAUGGCAGCGCUCUUCUCGGGGCGAACAGCCCAUGUGGAAGCAGCGUCAUGGCAGGCGAGAGUGCACAAGGCGCGCUGUCUCCCGUCAUGGUCGUGCGAUCAUCGUGGCGUCGGGCCGUCGUGCCCGCGAUUUUGGCGCGCGGGGCUAUCGGCUCCUGGAUCACCUCCCGCCUGGUGCCAGCUGGCGAUCGUGAUGAGGUAGAGGGGUGAUGGUGGUGCUGCCCACGCCUCUUUUUGGGUGGGGAGGCGUGGUGGUGAGGACGUCUCGGAGCCCUCAAUCGUGCCGGCGCAACACGAGCUCCUCCCGGUCCUUUGACCGAGAGCAGGAUCAUGUCAUAGCCAAAAUCGGUAGACAUGAACUCGAGGCUCCCGAACCAAAUUACCGUGAAGCGCGGAAUCAGCGAAACAAGAGUGGCCAUCUGGAAAGGUAUGGGAAAUCGGUGAAAAACACGCAUGACCCCUACCUGACGCGCCAACUGUCGGUGUUUUCCCCCCGGGGGGUCACACCAACGAGUGAAACUUGUAUGCGUGCUCCCCUUUCUAGAUGGUGAUGCAAGAAAAGACACAAGAAUUUAUCCUGGUUCGGGCAAGAGAAGGCCCUACGUCCAGCGGGGGGGGGGGGGAGUGUAUGUUUUAUCUUGCACCUAAGUGCUUGUACAGGGGUGAAUACAGGCGUCAGAUGGAUGGAGGUGGAGUGAGGUUGCUCUACUAUGUAUGGCUUGUUUGUUGUGUCGCCUCCGGGACCUCCCCUUUUAUAGUUCCAAGGAGAGGUCUAGGGUACAUGUAUAGGCGAUAGAGUAGGGGUCGAUAGAGGUAUGGCAUGCUGACCUACUCGAGGCCACUAUUGACGGUCCUUAAGUAUCAAAUUUAAUUAUCAAAUAAACAAAGAAAAGGAUCCAAAUGAAAUCAACAUCUAGACUUAGGGUUUUAUCUGACUGAAUUCCACGAGUUUUGGUGUUUGUCUAUUUCUGCAGGGGGUUAUCAGGAAAUAAGGAAGAAAGGCCCACAUGUCGGGAUUACAUAGAGAUAUCAACCCACCGCGCAAUUUUCUACCAUCUAGAAGACUCCAGAAGCCACGGGAAGGAAGCGGAGCUCGAAAGGGGCCAGGCCCAGGGCGCCCGCCCUGAGGACCUGGGCGCCCGCCCCCCUCUGGACUCUGUUCCGGACUCUCUUCGCACACGACGUUCCACCGACCUAUUGGAUCCAGAAUAACAUAGUACCACCUCGCCUAUCGACCCAAAAACGCAAAGAAGGGGAGGACUAUAUAAGGAGACCCCCCUGGCCCCUGGAGAAGACAAGAAAUUAUCAUAGAGAUUGAGGGGUGCCCUCGAAGGAAAACCUCUUCUCUAAAUAAUAUUUCUUUUUAGGCUUAGCAACCAAUGUAAAGUAGAAAUAGAUCUUCUAGUUUCUACUAGAUUGAGAGAGAUAGAGUGGAGGUGUGGAUCGGAGGAAGGCCGGCCUGUCGGUGUCUACUCCGAGUUGUACCUGCGGGAUCAAGUCUCCUAACCCGAGGCUUGCUUCUAAGAUUCUUCAGUAAUUGGACUUCUAAUACUAGUAAGUUCUUGUUUUAUUGUUCUUUGGUUUAUGAGUUUACUUUAAUCCUCUUCCGGUUGAGUAUUAGAGUAAUCACUUGUUAGCGUAAACGUGGUGUUUAGGCUAGGGUACUCAUAGAUAUCCCCUGACUAGCUGGACCGUGGUAGUAGCGAGGAACGUGACAUUUCCGAGUUACCUUUGCAGAUCACAUCUCGUUAGCAGGACGGGUAGGUUUAUAGGUGCGGGUCGAACAUCCUUUGUGUUGUCUAGAUUCCGUGAGCCUCCCCAAUAGAACAGUAGAUCAUCCUUACCAAGGUUAGAACGAGACUACGGUUGCAGUCUUCUCUAUACAUCACUCACAUCGAGAGACAUUCUUUGUAGCCUAAAGGGAUAGUAGCAAUAGAUUUGGUUAGUCAGAUGCACCCUUUCUCCCAGUGGUAAAAAUAUAAAUACGAUACUCUGGAAAACCUCCUGGGUGAAAUGCUCACCGAUAUCCGUGCGCUUGCGGAUCAUUUUCUAAUUGCGUUACCAAAUAUCAACAAGCAUUUCUGGCGCCGUUGCCGGGGAGAAAGACGGUUUGCUGAGAUAACUUUGAGUCUUGCUAUUAUCUUGUAUUAUACUUUUAUACUUUUAUUCUUUUAUCUUUUUAUUUUUAUUUUUAUGGAUAACUCAAAUUCCAUACCUAUUAUUGAAUUCUUUGCACCUUCGGAGACCAGCCAUAGACCAUGGGAGUCAACACGUCCUGCCCCUAAUUAUGAUCUGUGUCCGGAGUUGAUUGCAAUAGGUCAAAACCAACCCUUUUCUAUAGCCGAGGUCCUAUCUUUUAAUCAAAAAGAUAAUGCACUUUUAGCUACACCUAGGGAAUCUUUUAAUCUUUCUAUAAAUUCUGGUUUAGACCUAGCCCUACAAGACCAUGUUUUUCCUAGAUAUUUUCACAUUGGUCUUAAUCAUAUAAUUUUUGGUAGAGUCUUUCUUUCUUUAUCUAUUAGUAAAGGAAGGUAUGUCUUCAUUUGUGGACAUCCUUCUUGUACUAGUCUUCAUAGAAAAAUCUUAGAGAUAGAGAAGGAAUCAUCUCCCAUACAAGGAGAGGAAGUUUCAAUAGCCGAUUUCCAAACAUUUCAAUCCCAUGAUUCGGCUAUCCAACCCCUCCUUGAGCUUAAUAAAUUCUACUAUGCUCUUUCUCUUGAACCUCCCGAUAUUCCUAUGAAUCUCUCUAGACAUCCCAUGCAUAAGAAGGAGGAUCGAGAAGAGCAACAUCAAUGGCUAGAGGGCAUUAAAAAUCCAUGUGCUAUCACCAUUGAAUGGAUAGAUAAAACAAACUUGAGAGACAAUCCUAGAGGAAUUUUAACCAUUCAUGAAGAAUCAACCUUGGAGUUUGAGAAUGAGAGAAACAACAGUGAGCAUGGAAGUUAUUUCAUAAAUACCUCACCCAGUCCUUGCUCAUAUAAAACAUCUCUCCAAUCAAUUUGUCUCUCCAUCCUUACCACAUUUGAGAUCUUCAACCCCCUCUUCUUUUCUAUUUAUAAAAACUUUAAAAGGGCGGUUGUCGAUGCAUAUGUCUAUAAUAAAUAUUGUAGAUCUUGUUGAGUUAAUUGAUGGUUCCCCAAGGACAAGCUUAGUGUCCUAAAACAAGCACUUCUAAUUAUUUGCAACAUUACCUUGUGUAUUGAGCAUAUAAAGAUAAUUGUAGAAAUAUUCCUUCGGGUAUUCUUGCCACUAACCUUUCUAGGAUUGGAGCAAGAAGAUCGGAUGAAUGACAAGCGCAAGGUAUGCCCAACCAAUCAUCAUGCAACAUUAAAUUAAAUUCAUCUAAUCUUGAAUUUUACAAAAUUCAAGCUUGGGGGAGUACUUUACAUAAAACAUCCUUUGCCAUGUUGCUAUGUUGGUUGUCCCUACCUUUGAGACAUGCUCAAUUUAUUAAAUACUAAUCACACUACUUCAUCUCCACAUGAGUAGAUCUCUAUAAAAGCCAUCAUACUACCUUUGUUUAUCCUAGUAAGUGUUAGUUUGGAAGUACUGGUCACACUUCCAAUGGCAUUUAAAUUAAGCGUGGUGCUUAGGUUAAAUAGCCUUCCUUAAUCUGAUUAGACAUGGAGUCUAGUUUGGUUACUGAAGUAAAAAACUGCUUGAGUAGAUAUUGGUAUAUUUUGUUGGACUAACCCCUGCAGGAAAACUUUCAAUAACAACCUGGGAAGUCCUGAGAUGCAAACUCAUUAGAGAUGAAGAAAGUGACACAUGAAGUUUAACAAUUUGCACAAGAAAGACGUAGCUCAUAAGAGAUGAUCCAUGGAAGGUGCCACAAACACGAUGCACAACCGCUAAGAAAGGAAAGCUUCCACAAGGUGAUACUGUACCGUCACUCUUCAAGUAAGGUAACACCUUAAGGUACUUGACUAUCGCUUUUAUAAGCUUCUCCUUGGUUCUAGCGUUCACAUAAAUAAAGAGACAAACAUGUAUGAUUUAUAACUCCAGAUUAACCAACUCAAAUUAAUUCAUCAUGUUUAGUCCUUAAUCUUUGUUCUUAGUACUACCUUCGUGAUCCCAUACUCCUAAUCAUAUAAGUUAAAAUGUUGCACAUUCAAUCUUUGGGAAGAUAUAAAGAAAAGACAUAUACAUAGAUAGAUUAUCUUUCCAUUAGGUCGAUCAAUCUGAUCUGACAAAUGUUUUAAAUACUACACUCAUGAUCUUAUUAUCUAUCAAACUUUGUCUUGCUCACUAUGCUUAAGGUUAGAGAAGAACAAAUACACUUUUGGUUCUGUUGGUGUUUUCCACCAACAGGGCCCAUGCACUUGAUCUCUGCCUUGUCUCUAUGAAUAGGUACACUUCAAACAAAACAUGGAGGAGUUUUACAACUCCCAGACUCCACCAAGUAAAGGACUUGGAUCUACGAGCACAAACACACUGGAGAUACUGGACGCUCAGGCAAUCACUGCCCUAAGAUGCUUGAGGACGUGAACUACAUUAACAACAAUAACAACUAUUACUACAACCGUCCUCAACAACAUCAAGGUUGGAAUCAACAGAGGCCUAAUUACUCAGAGAGGUGAUCUAGGACGUCCCGUCAUCCCGAUCUCCAUCGGCAUGGUGGACUUCCCAGAAGCACUCUGCGACUUUGGCUCCAGUGUCAACAUUAUGCCUAGGGUUGCAGAUCGGACACUCAGUUUCCCAAUGGAAAUAUUGAAGAACCUCUGCGUCCGAGUUGGUACCUUGUAUGCUCUAGCAGACUUCAUGGUGAUAGAGACUGGUACUGAGGAGAGGGCACCCAUCAUCUUAGGGAGGCCAUUCCUAAACACCAGAAGUGUCAUCUACGCUAAUGCUGCCAAGAUCAGUCUCUACAUCAAGGGGAAGAAGGAGACUUUCCUUCAAGAACAAGACUACACAAACUUCAGAGCAAUCCUGACAUGAACCAAGGAAGAGGACCAACAGGAGGAACAGGAACAAGCAAAUGUGGACCAAGUCAGCUAAGAAGGUCACUGCAGUUCAAGGAGGUCAAGAUCGUCGACUCAAGUCACCUUUCUUGAUCAAGAAGGAGGACCCUGGUGUUCUAAGCAUUGAAGUGCACAAUCAACAGAUACUCUUUUCAGAAGACACUCUACGACACCGGAUCUGACGUCAACAUAAUGGCCGUAGUCACUUAUCAGCUCCUGCAUGAAACCAUGCCCCUACAACCAAUAUACAUUCAGCUGUAGAUGACUUUCAAGUUAUUGACAUGGGAGAAGAUGAAUAUGAUCCACCCACCAUCCUUGGAAGACAGUUCCUCAGCACUAUCAAAGCCAUCAUCUAUAUUGGAACCGGAGAAGUCCACAUACACUUCUCCUUUGAGAAGGUAUGCCGCUGUUUUACUGACCCUAACUAUAUAGUUGAAGACUCUAAGCAGGUCAGGACGAGAAGAAGACAUCGCAACCGCAACCAGAGGAGGCAAAUCAUCAAGGACGGAUGGGUAGACUACGAAGAAGAAGUGAUAAGGACUGAAGACAUACCACUUGAACAUAACUGUCCUGAGGAGACCAUAGCACCGAGUCAGGUGUGGAGAGAGAUUAUAGUUACACACGAAGAGGAGGCGCCACCGGAAUUACCGACUACGUCAUCCAGCGAAUCCCAGGACGAUUAAGAAAAUGGAGAGUCCCGCUCGGAGGACUUAAAAACACCGAACGCCUUGCCAAGAGGUAAACUUGUUAGUUAUCCUUUCCCUUUUAAUUAUUUCAAAUAGUUUACUUAGUUAAUCAUGUUCGUAUUAUCCUAGAAAGAAAAUAAAAAUGUGAAAAAAAAUGUAAGCCCCAUGUGAGUAGACGAGUGGCAUAAAAUCCAUAAGUACAUUCACUGUGGUGGCAUAAAAAUAAAAUAAAUAUUUUUCUGCUUUAUAAAAACAAAAAUAUAAAAACAGGGAGUAAUAUUUAUUAAGGAGUCUCAACAUGAUAAAGGCUAGAUAUUUAUGCUAACACUUAACCAGUUCCACAAGCUUUGUUGUCUAUUUGAGCUCCACAGAAUUUAAGAAUCAAGAAGACUAGUAGACGGAGGACAUUCUAAUCGCUGUCAAAAUACUGCUGACUUUCAAACACACCUCUGUCACCUGCUAGCUACAUCAAGAGAAAUUACGUCAAAAUUCAGCUUGGGGGAGAGCACCCCCAUUUAUCUCGAUAAGUAUUUCUAUCUAUCUUUAUACUUAUACUAUAUUAGAAUAUAAAUACACAUAACUAUGAAAAACCAAAUAAAGAUUUUAUGCUUAUAUAUAUUUUGCUUAGUGUGUUUAAUAAAUAAAUAAAGUGGCUAUGCUAAUCGGUAUCUAAUAAAACUUAAGCAUGGAUAUGAUGAAUACUUGCUCUGCCUAAUUUGCAAAUUUGAAGUUCUCUUAAGUUUAGAUAUAACUGUUAUAAUUUAAGGCUUGCUCUAGACCUAAACUUGUGGGAUGAAAACUUGAUCUGAAGUCUAAGUUGUUAACGGAUACGAUAUGGGAAGGUUGAGCUGCUGUUCAUCUGUUCCUAGAGAUGCUAGAAUUCUGGAGAAUUUUAUCUUUGAAAAAUCUUUAAAAUAACACAUGAUGAGUUUCUGUAUGAUGAGAGUUUAAAUUCCUACCACAGCCAUAUAUACAUGCUUGCUAGACCUUGAGCCACACAUUUACUAUUUACUGCUUAUGAGCAUUGAGUGUGGUCAAGCUGUGUAGACCCUUAGGAGCUUGUCAUGUGGUUAAAUCAAGAUUUCACUUGCACGUUCACUCAUAUAUGCUACUUCUACUCCGGAAGUACCAUCCACAUAUAUCCACCCAUUCCAUCUCCAGAAUCACCCAAAAAUAUUCUACUCCUAAUCCGGGAGAGAAUAGCCAAAAAUAUUUUCCUAUCACUGUUAUUCCCUGUGAAAUAAAUGCUGAAGUUAUCUUGUUACUACCACUUGCUAUAUUAUCUCAAGAGAUGAAUGCUCUGAAAAAAAAGAGAGAAAAAAAAAGAGAUACGAGGAAAUAAAAAGGAGCAAGUGCUCGGAACCUCGAAAGAAAAGAAAAAGUGAGACGAGAGGUAAAAAUGGACAAGUGUCCGACAGUAGAAUUAGGGGUGCAAGAUACCCACCUGAGAGAAAAAAAAAGCAUCUCAUUCUCCUCAUAAAGUUUCAAAAGCAAGGAAGGUAUGUAUCCCCUCAAAAGAGCAAAAGUAGAAUUAGACUUUCACCAUUGUUAUCACCAUCAUCACCAUAUACCAUUCAUUCGCCACACAUGCACAUCUUGAUUUGACUUAUUGACUUGUUUCUCUGGAUCCAUGGUUUGACUAUGCAAUAAAUGUCUUGUAAGUAUGUAUUAGCUGUCUCCCACCUAUGAUCUUCAGAUAUCAAAACCUUAUUAGAGUAGGGUGAGAGAGAAGGUAAUAUCACUAUGCAUUAUACCAAAAAUACCACAUACUUUGAGAGAAGGCAUAUACCAUUACUGCCAUGGUAAGGAUCCAGAAAUACCACAAAAGAGAGACCUGAGAGAAUCAUACAAGGAAUUUCUGAGUUUUAUUUGAAAAUCUGCAAAAACCCCAGAGCUAUAGCUGAUCAAGAAUAAGAGACAUGGCACUUGGCUAGACUGUUCUAUCUUUUAACCACUCAAGACAGAAGUGACGGUUACAAGUCCUAUGGUGUAGGUAAAGUAAGUAAGUUUUAAGACUUAACAGUUUAUUCUAACUCAGAGAUGAGAUCUUGCUUAAAUGUGUGUGUACUUCUAAGAAAUGAAACCACUGCAGAAACUCUUGAGUUCAUCCUUGCUCAGGGACGAGCAAGAGGUAAGCUUGGGGGAGUUUGUUGACGGUCCUUAAGUAUCAAAUUUAAUUAUCAAAUAAACAAAGAAAAGGAUCCAAAUGAAAUCAACAUCUAGACUUAGGGUUUUAUUUGACAGAAUUCCACGAGUUUUGGUGUUUGUCUAUUUCUGCAGGGGGUUAUCAGGAAAUAAGGAAGAAAGGCCCACAUGUCGGGAUUACAUAGAGAUAUCAACCCACCGCGCAAUUUUCUACCAUCUAGAAGACUCCAGAAGCCACGGGAAGGAAGCGGAGCCCGAAAGGGGCUAGGCCCAGGGCGCCCGCCCUGAGGACCUGGGCGCCCGCCCCCCUCUGGACUCUGUUCCGGACUCUCUUCGCACACGACGUUCCACCGACCUAUUGGAUCCAGAAUAACAUAGUACCACCUCGCCUUUCGACCCAAAAAUGCAUAGAAGGGGAGGACUAUAUAAGGAGACCCCCCUGGCCCCUGGAGAAGACAAGAAAUUAUCAUAGAGAUUGAGGGGUGCCCUCAAAGGAAAACCUCUUCUCUAAAUAAUAUUUCUUUUUAGGCUUAGCAACCAAUGUAAAGUAGAAAUAGAUCUUCUAGUUUCUACUAGAUUGAGAGAGAUAGAGUGGAGGUGUGAAUCAGAGGAAGGCCGGCCUGUCGGUGUCUACUCCGAGUUGUACCUGCGGGAUCAAGUCUCCUAACCCGAGGCUUGCUUCUAAGAUUCUUCAGUAAUUCAACUUCUAAUACUAGUAAGUUCUUGGUUUAUUGUUCUUUGGUUUAUGAGUUUACUUUAAUCCUCUUCCGGUUGAGUAUUAGAGUAAUCACUUGUUAGCGUAAUCGUGGUGUUUAGGCUAGGGUACUCAUAGAUAUCCCCUGACUAGCUGGACCGUGGUAGUAGCGAGGAACGUGAAAUUUCCGAGUUACCUUUGCAGAUCACAUCUCGUUAGCAGGACGGGUAGGUUUAUAGGUGCG
Molecule: long non-coding RNA, 11382 nt
Filed under: Sorghum bicolor (sorghum)
Lineage: Eukaryota; Viridiplantae; Streptophyta; Magnoliopsida; Poales; Poaceae
Description: long non-coding RNA (SBIC_LNC002943)
Source: RNAcentral